GGGCAGUUAGCUCAGUCAGGUAGAGCAUCUGGCUUUUAACCAGAUGGCCAGGGGUUCAAAUCCCUUACUGCCCG
This 74-nucleotide transfer RNA is filed under the name Halobacteriales archaeon. RNAcentral describes it as "tRNA-Lys". It matches the Rfam family "tRNA". From Rfam's summary of the family: Transfer RNA (tRNA) molecules are approximately 80 nucleotides in length. The record is from RNAcentral. Lineage: Archaea; Methanobacteriati; Methanobacteriota; Halobacteria; Halobacteriales.